RNAcentral lists this ribosomal RNA (927 nucleotides) under Triticum aestivum (bread wheat). RNAcentral's name for it is "partial small subunit ribosomal RNA". Lineage: Eukaryota; Viridiplantae; Streptophyta; Magnoliopsida; Poales; Poaceae. The record is from RNAcentral.
AUGAGGGAGGAGGAGGAGCCAAGCUGGUUCGCGCGCUUCGACGAGGACCUGCCGGCGCCGGACGAGCUCAUGCCGCUCUCGCAGUCGCUCAUCACCCGCGAUCUCGCCGCCGCCUUCGACAUCCCCACGCACGGCGGGGGCGGCCCGCUCAGCGGCGGCGCUGACGGCGCGGGCGGCCAGGAGAUGAACGGCGGCGCGUCGUCGGCCGCCGGCUCCAGCGGCGGAAACGGCGGCGGCAACGGGGAGGAGCCGGCCAGGACCCUCAAGCGGCCGCGCCUCGUGUGGACGCCGCAGCUGCACAAGCGGUUCGUCGACGCCGUGGCGCACCUCGGCAUCAAGAACGCCGUGCCCAAGACCAUAAUGCAGCUGAUGAGCGUGGACGGCCUCACGCGCGAGAACGUCGCGUCCCACCUCCAGAAGUACCGCCUCUACCUCAAGCGCAUGCAGGGGCUCGGCAACGGCGGCGGCGGCGGGGGAGGCAGCCACUCCUCCGGCUCCGGGACCGACGCGGCCACCGAGCACCUCUUCGCCACCGGGCCCUCCCCGUUCCUCCCGCCCGGCCGCGGCCCGGCCGUCGCCGACCCUUACACUCCAUACGCCGCCAUGCCCGCCCACCCCGCCGCGCACCACCAUCACCACCACCCGCAGCAGAUCGCCCACUUCCACCACCCCGCCGCGCGCCCGCUCGGCCACUACGGCGCCGGGCCAGGCGGCGGCUUCGACCACGGGUUCCUGAGCCGCGCCGUGGCCAGCGGCGCGCCAGUCGGCCCGCCCGGGAUGCACCACCGCAUGGUCGGCGGCGGGGCCGCGAUGGGGAUGAUGGCGCCGUCGUCUUUCGCCGAGGAGCUGGAGCUCGGGUCCCGCGGCGGCGGCGGCGGCGGCGGGCGCCGGGAGCUGACGCUGUUCCCGACUUCCGGCGAGCACUGA